This 468-nucleotide ribosomal RNA is filed under the name uncultured bacterium. Its description in RNAcentral is "partial 16S ribosomal RNA". It matches the Rfam family "Bacterial small subunit ribosomal RNA", at positions 28 to 507 of the family's 1533-position model. The record is from RNAcentral.
GACGAACGCUGGCGGCGUGCUUAACACAUGCAAGUCGAACGGAAAGGCCCUGCUUUUGUGGGGUGCUCGAGUGGCGAACGGGUGAGUAACACGUGAGUAACCUGCCCUUGACUUUGGGAUAACUUCAGGAAACUGGGGCUAAUACCGGAUAGGAGCUCCUGCUGCAUGGUGGGGGUUGGAAAGUUUCGGCGGUUGGGGAUGGACUCGCGGCUUAUCAGCUUGUUGGUGGGGUAGUGGCUUACCAAGGCUUUGACGGGUAGCCGGCCUGAGAGGGUGACCGGCCACAUGGGGACUGAGAUACGGACCAGACUCCUACGGGAGGCAGCAGUGGGGAAUAUUGCACAAUGGGCGGAAGCCUGAUGCAGCAACGCCGCGUGCGGGAUGACGGCCUUCGGGUUGUAAACCGCUUUCGCUUGUGACGAAGCGUGAGUGACGGUAAUGGGUAAAGAAGCACCGGCUAACUACGUG